AGGGAAUCUUCGGCAAUGGGGGCAACCCUGACCGAGCAACGCCGCGUGAGUGAAGAAGGUUUUCGGAUCGUAAAGCUCUGUUGUAAGAGAAGAACGUGUGUGAGAGUGGAAAGUUCACACAGUGACGGUAACUUACCAGAAAGGGACGGCUAACUACGUGCCAGCAGCCGCGGUAAUACGUAGGUCCCGAGCGUUGUCCGGAUUUAUUGGGCGUAAAGCGAGCGCAGGCGGUUUAAUAAGUCUGAAGUUAAAGGCAGUGGCUUAACCAUUGUUCGCUUUGGAAACUGUUAAACUUGAGUGCAGAAGGGGAGAGUGGAAUUCCAUGUGUAGCGGUGAAAUGCGUAGAUAUAUGGAGGAGCACCGGUGGCGAAAGCGGCUCUCUGGUCUGUAACUGACGCUGAGGCUCGAAAGCGUGGGGAGCAAAC
RNAcentral lists this ribosomal RNA (425 nucleotides) under uncultured bacterium. RNAcentral's name for it is "bacterial SSU rRNA". It matches the Rfam family "Bacterial small subunit ribosomal RNA", at positions 356 to 773 of the family's 1533-position model. The record is from RNAcentral.